RNAcentral lists this small nucleolar RNA (98 nucleotides) under Physeter macrocephalus (sperm whale). Its description in RNAcentral is "Physeter catodon (sperm whale) Small nucleolar RNA SNORA70 (ENSPCTG00005017291.1)". It matches the Rfam family "Small nucleolar RNA SNORA70". From Rfam's summary of the family: snoRNA U70 seems to be exclusive to mammals and is a member of the H/ACA class of snoRNA which contain H (ANANNA) and ACA box motifs. H/ACA box snoRNAs are involved in the conversion of uridines to pseudouridines (5-ribosyluracil) a constituent of structural RNAs (transfer, ribosomal, small nuclear, and small nucleolar). Lineage: Eukaryota; Metazoa; Chordata; Mammalia; Artiodactyla; Physeteridae. The record is from Rfam by way of RNAcentral.
AGGAGCCGUGCAUGUCAAGAACCAAGGCUACAGACUCCUCAGUAGUGUAUGCAGCCUGCUGCCUGUACUGGUUGCCCUAAGGGACUUUGGAGACGACC